CAGUCGCCGCGGGAAUACGAAGGGUGCAAGCGUUAAUCGGAAUUACUGGGUGUAAAGCGUGCGCAGGCGGUGAUGUAAGACAGUUGUGAAAUCCCCGGGCUCAACCUGGGAACUGCAUCUGUGACUGCAUCGCUGGAGUGCGGCAGAGGGGGAUGGAAUUCCGCGUGUAGCAGUGAAAUGCGUAGAUAUGCGGAGGAACACCGAUGGCGAAGGCAAUCCCCUGGGCCUGCACUGACGCUCAUGCACGAAAGCGUGGGGAGCAAACAGGAUUAGAUACCCCGGUAGUCCCUGUCUCUUAUAC
This 301-nucleotide ribosomal RNA is filed under the name uncultured bacterium. RNAcentral's name for it is "partial 16S ribosomal RNA". It matches the Rfam family "Bacterial small subunit ribosomal RNA", at positions 509 to 807 of the family's 1533-position model. The record is from RNAcentral.